CAUCUGUAACCUACACCACAGCUCACGGCAACUCCGGAUCCUUAACCCACUGAGCAAGGCCAGGGAUCGAACCCACAACUUCAUGGUUCCUAGUCGGAUUCGUUAACCACUGAGCCUCAACGGGAACUCCAUGUUAUCAUCGUAUUCUUUAGGCUGUUUCUUUAGGAGACCUCAAGUAGCUCUGAGCUCCAGCCGUCUCAGUUAAUAAAGAGAAAGUAAAUUCUCCUCAUUGCAAAAACUUUUGGAGCAGCAGGAAACCAACCUGUCAGCUGAAAUUGAUUUAUUCAUUCAACUGGAAUUAACGGAGACCCGUUUAACACAUCCCCUGAGAGGGAGCAGUUUACUUCAUUCACCCCAUAAGAUCAGGCUGAUCAUCCCAUGAUGGUGUAACAUAUUCAUGAGAAAGUCAGGGCAGAGAUGUCCAUUCCCACUUAAUAAGUGGAGAAAAUGAAGUACAAAUUUCCCAGUCACCCAAGAGAGGGAUUAGCGCACUAAUGUGUUCACCAGAUCAUCCUAUAGCAGAGUCUCCUCAGGUAUAGGACGAAUUCCAGGUUUCGUUUGCAUCUCUGUGUGUAUAUUUCUCCUAGCCAGAAAGCCAAAUGCUAGGACUUCCCGUCACAAGGAGAGAGAAACCCAGUUUUGCAAUAUUCCCCCUACACAAUCCUAAAUAUCUGGUAGCCUCUGUACUCUUCCCUUCUUUCUUAUAACCUCUCUUGCCCUUAUUUAGAAUACAGUGGACCCUUGAACAAGGCAGGGGUUAGGGGCACCCGACCCCCACACAUUUGAAAAUCCAUGUUGUGACUUUAUAGUUGGCCCUGGAUAGGAUUGAACCUAUCGAGCACUGUAUUUAGUAGAAAAAAAAUCUGCCUAGAGGUGGACUUGCACAGUUCAAAUUUUUGUGGUAGAGUCAACGGUAAUUCUCUGUUAGCGCUUUCUGUGUUACAGCUUGCAGGCUGUGGGAGAGUGCAGAGCCCGAUUAGCUAAGUUCAACUCUGACAUGCUGGCUCCAGGCAUUCCGUCCACGAUGAGGUGACAUGUGAUAUCGUGGCAGCUUCCAAAACUUCCACCUGGCCUUGAUCACCCGGGGUUUCCAGACACUGGUGUGUGUGUUGAUCUCAGAUGUGAAACAGCUGCUGGCUUCUGGGACUUCUCUGUAGCUAUGGAGACAGGAACACACCUAUGGAGAAUGUCAGGAAGUGGGCAGUAGUCUUAGGGCUAAAGCUUCCGGAUGGAUGCAGCCUGAUGGGCAGGUGUGGCAUGUGUUGAGGCAGGAUUCCAGGCCUGUCUUUAUCAAGUAUGAUGACAGCUACUGUACAGCUCGCUCCUCUGCUUUGCUUCCUUGUCAGGUGGCUUAGUGAUUCACUCACUUAUUUUGCAAAUACCUAGCUGUGUGCCAGGCACUGUUUAGGCACGGGAGACAGGGGUGAGGAAGCAGAGUCCCCGCCCUCACUGAGCUUACCAGGACAUGGGACUUUACAGCUAAAACUGGACACGUCCUGAGCAAACUGGGCCAACUUGGUCACCCCUCGGGGUGGGAUUGGGGGAGGGGGGAGAAGACACGUCAUGAGCAAAUACACUAGUAAAUACGGUAAGUUCAGAUAGUGAUACAGGCUGGUGAUGAACUACCUCUUAGCCUCUUAGUUGGAGGUGGCCGGUAGGAGGAGGCUUUCCUUGAUCUCUGGGCGAGGAGGGGAGGGAGUUGCAGGCCGAGGAAGCAGGGACAGAGCUGGGAAGUUUGAAGCAAAGAGAAGGGCUUGAGGCUGGAGUGGAGAGAGUCAGGGAGGCGUGGAAGGAGCCAGGAUUCUGCAACAUAACUAAUCCAGCAAAUCAGCAGGUACCGUGGUAGGGUCCUCCGUCAGGUCCUUUACUUGUGUUAAUUCAUUCUAUCCUCACAACAAAGGUGGAUUCAUAUCGUUAUCCUGACUGCGUUUAGAGAAGGAAACACAGUCAUAUCAUUAUUCUGACUGCGUUCAGAGGAGGAAACCCAGGUACCAGGGUACCAGAGGCAAGCGUGAGAAUUGAGCUGUGGGAGGCAAGCUUGGAGCCAAGGAGGAUGCAGUAGAGUCUGCCCCUCCCCGACUCUGGCCCUGCCCCAGGUGUUAGCAGAGGGGCAUCAGGGUCUGUUCUACACUUGGGCCCAACCCGUCUGGGGCCUCUGCUGGGACUCAUCCACUCCAGACCCAUCGGACCCCAGGGUCUGGAGUGUUAAAGUCACAGGUUGUCAAUGGGCUGUGUCUUUGUAAUAUAGUCACAAUAGGCUUCAAAUGAAGAAACCAGGGAGGUGAAACUAUUAUGGCAUAUUGCCUUUUUCACUUCCACUCUGCUUCUUUAUAACCACCCUCAAUAUAUUAUUCGUGUCCCUCGCUGAAUAUAGAAAACAACAUAACCAGCCGACUGCAGAGACUGUACUAUCAGCAACCAAAUUACUUUAUCGGCUGUGGUUAACAAUGGGUUUUCUUUCCUCCACCAUUUCUGAUAAAAUGUUUGCACAGCAUUAUAUGAGGAAACACAGAGCUACAGCAAUAAAAAACGAACAAGGAUAAUUUGUAUGUUGGCAUUUCCACAAUAGAAUGUCAAGUAUUUCAUACCCCAGUGAUAUUGAGCCUUUCUAAGCCAAGUGCUACUUUCUUUGAAAAAACUGCUUUAUGUUCAUUUUAUUAUUAAUCUUAAAAUGUAUAUAUACAUUAUAUACCCUCUCUGUAUGAUAUGUUUCUCAAACAAUAAUUUAAAGUCUGUAAUAAAAAUAAAUAUACAUUUUAAAUGAUUGCAUCAAAAUAUACAUUGAAAAUGAUACUGUGUCAGGCAAACUAACAGGUAGUUGCUGCUACUCUUCUUUCUAAGACUACCCUGCCUUCAUUUCACGUAAGGUCCCAUCCUUUUCAGAUUCCCAGCAAUGAUCACUUUUACAAAAGGAUUUUGUUGUUUUUGUAGAACAUAUUGAUUAAUCAAUGUAGACUCAUUUCUCUCAUUAUUCUUACAGUUCUGCUUCAUAUAGAAACUUUCCAGGUGGUAGAUAAGAAUAAUCAGAUCCUAAAUUUAACUAGAAAUCAUCAUGUUUUAAGAGUACAUGCAAAUCACAUAUUAUAAAAUGAGUUGAAAAGUAAUCUGUAUGCAUUAUUUGCAUGUCAGGGAUUUUAAAAAAUUCUUAAGAAAUAGCUUUUAAAUUAAACUAUAAUAGAUAGUUGAGACAGAAAAAUAUCAAAAGGAAAAAAAAGUAGGAGAGACCUGUAGUUAACUCUGACUUUGCAUUUUAAAAAGAACCCUCAUGGAGUUCCCUGGUACCUCAGUGGGUUAAGGACUUGGCAUUGUCACUGCUGUGGCUCAGUUAUUGCUGCAGCAUGGGUUUGAUCCCUGGCCUGGGAACUUCUGCAUGCUUCGGGUGUGGUUAAAAGAAAAAUGAACCCCCAAAGCAGAAGGAACCAGCCUUCAUGUCCCCCCAAGCUAUGUAAGAACUUGGUGAAGAGUUUGCAUGGUCCAAGGAGAUAUUUGAUCUCAGGUUCAGAUCUGGUCUGCAAGGGGCAUAAUGGAGGUUCAUGCAGCCUCCAGAGGGAGAGCAUUUGGGAACCUGAGGUGACUCAUCUUUGAAACUGCCAACAGAUCAGUCAGAUGGGAAUACAGACUCAGUGGAUGUUUUAUUUUUUUCCUGUCAAAGGUAAGAACAAUUCAGCAUCUCAGAGUGAGCGAUAGGUAAAAAUGUCACAAAUACCUGCCAACUGACAAUUGGAUACUUGGUCUCCAGGUCAUGGGGAUAAGGAAUGUGGGUAGUGAGUGCGUGGUUGAAGAAUGGUUUCCCAAAGAUGUGCUGUCACCUUGAUUUCAACCCCCAGAAUCUGUAAGUAUUACCUUAUGUGGCAAAAAAAAGUGAAAAUUACCUUAUAUAGCUGUCUCUCAAUGUCUGUGGGAGUUCCAGGAUCCUCUCUGCCCCAACAAGGAUACCAAAAUCUGCAGAUGCUCAAUUUCCUUAUAUAAAGGGUAGUACAGGAGUUCCUUUUGUGGCUCAGCCGGUUAAGAACCUGACUAGUAUCUGUGAAGAUGCAGGUUCAAUCCCUGGCCUUGCUCAGUGGGUUAAAGGAUCUGGGGUUCCCUUGAGCUGCAGCGUAGAUUGCAGAUCAGCUCUGAUCUAACAUUGCUUGUGACUGUGGCGUAGGCUGGUGGCUGCAGCUCCUAGCCUGGGAAUUUCCAUAUGCUGCAGGUGUGGCCCUAAAAAGAAAAAAAAAAAAAGGUAGUACAGUCUUCCUUCCAUAUUCUCAGAUAUAUCCUCAUAUAUCCAGAUUCUGAAUCUGCCCAUGGAUGUAGAACCCACAGAUACGAAGGCCGGACUGUAUGGCAAAAGGAUGAUUAACUUAAGAAUCCUGAGGAUCUUGUUCUGAAUUGUCUAGGAACGCUCUCAAUGCAGUCGUACAUCUUGAUAACAGAGAGGUGAAAACAGAGGAGUUUUGACCCAGAUCCACAUAGGGUUGAAGUGAUAUGAGGAUGAGGCAGAGAUUGGAGUAGUGCAGCCAUAAGCCAAGAAACACCUGCCAUCACCAGAUAAGGCAAAGAACCAUCACAGAGCCUCUGUAGGAAGUGCAGCUCUGCUGUCACCUUGAUUUCAGACUUCUGGCUUCUGGAACUGUUAUCACUUAUUACAGCAGCCACAGGAAUCUCAUACAGUGGCUGAUAAGUAUAGGAAGGGCUAAGGGAGGAAAUCAUUAUUUGUUUAUUUUUGGCCAUACCGAAUCAUGUAGA
Molecule: long non-coding RNA, 4728 nt
Filed under: Sus scrofa (pig)
Lineage: Eukaryota; Metazoa; Chordata; Mammalia; Artiodactyla; Suidae
Description: lncRNA (ENSSSCG00015011808.1)
Source: RNAcentral